Long non-coding RNA from Helianthus annuus (common sunflower), 6544 nucleotides. RefSeq lists it as uncharacterized. NCBI's taxonomy places the organism in Eukaryota, Viridiplantae, Streptophyta, Magnoliopsida, Asterales, Asteraceae. The record is from RefSeq and is a predicted model, not a curated record. The transcript has 3 exons.
AUAUAUAUAUUAAAAGGAUGAGAAAUACUUUGAGAAAGCAAAGUAUAUAAAAAGGCCCGAGAUUUAACGGGACUUAAAAUAAAACGGGUUGUGAACAAGAUAAAGUAACUAGGAAAUAAAUAACUUAGUACAAGUCUUGUAAUUAAAUGAAAGAAGUUAGUUUGAUGUGAAAAUAGUCUAAAAAUAUAAACUAAAGGGGCUGAUUAUGUAUAAGUGGCCAAACUAGACUUUUAUAAAAAAAAAAAAAAGAAAUCACACACACACAUCAGUGUGUGCGUGGGGAACGACCAGAGCAGGAAGAAAAAGGGUAAAACCCUAAACUCCACAAAAUCUUCUAAUUGAAGGUGCAAUUGAAGACCAAACUCGGAUUUGAAUACAUAUAAACGAUCACCGAGCUAAGGGGAUCGUAAGUUGACUCUAAACAAGCUAGGUGGGAGCUUGGAAAGGAACGGGUCAAACGGAUCAUGGAUGCGAAGAAUGUUUGCGCGAACGCGAGGUAAGUAAAGCUUACACCCAUUUGUAGUAAACGUAUGUAUUUUAUAGAUGAUAAAUGUGACAACCGAUUACAUUCGAAAUUGAAGUUCCGACACUAAGCAAUAUGAGUCGGAACGAAUAAAAAUGAUCAAAACCAUGGUUAAUGGUAAAAUGGACAAAAGGGUAAUUUAGUCGUGGAUCGACUAAGAAUUUAUAAGAUUUCUUUAAGGUUACCUUAUAGCGAAACUAGUAAUGGGAAAAAAGGGUAAAUUAGUCACAUGUUGACUAUAUGUAAGUUGGGAUUAAAAAGAAUACCCAUGGUGUAAGCCAUAACGAGUUAGAUACGUAAGAAGAAUGAUCUUGUAGUUAAAACUUGAAAUGGGUUGAAUGGGAUAUUAAAAGCCAUGAUUUGACAUAAGUAUAAAUGUUUGGUCAUAAAUACCAAAUGGGUCAAAUGGUGGUGAUGACACUAUUUGACAAUAUCGACUAAUGUUUGGUUGUUAAGUUAAAUGUUCGCAGAAGUGAACGGGAAGUGGAUUAUUGCGUUGCUAUAAAGUAGCGGCUAAUAAAAGAAAGGUACAAAACGGGUCUAUAUGUUGACUCGAGCCAGGUACGCAUUAAUUAGAUCAUGGCGAUAUGCGUAGUUGAAUUUUAGAAUAUAAGUUACUAUGAAAUAUAGCGAUGAUAUCGCUACAUUGAAUAUUUGGUCAAAAGAUGGUUAGAGCUCGUUGGUAGUCGUCAAAAAGGAAGGAAUUCCGUAGACGAGCCAAACGGGUCGAAUAAUCAAGUAAGGCAUGGUUAUUGUUUCGGAUUAUGAUGGUUUGAUGGUUGAUUUUGAAUAUUUUAUAACAUAUUAGAAAUAUGAGGUUUUAACGAAUUAGUAUCAUAGAAAACUGAAAACCGAGAGUUGGGUCUUGGAGUAAUGAUCAAACAAAACAAAACCUGACAUUCCAGGUACUACCGUAAAUUACGGUAGAACCGUAAAUUACGGUGGUUGUGAUAUGGUUUACGGAGCAGAUCUCCUGGUUUACGGUGACCAGACACUUCCAGGUCUCACCGUAAAUUACGGUGAUACCGUAAUUUACGGUGGAUUCAGAAUCACUUUUUAUAUUUUUGUUAUUUAUAAUGUGGCAUUAAGCCUUGGGAUUAUAUUAUUAUAUAUCAACGUCAAAACUAAUGAUUUUAACGGUUUUGAUCAUAGGAGAAUGCCAAGAGUGCCCGGAUGAAGAUCAAGCUCGAUGAGGAACCGAACACAAUAAAAUCUAACACUCGGGAUUAAAGCUUCCGCACGGCGUUACGCCAUAUCUUUUAAACAACGAACUUAUCUAUAUUAUGUUGAAAACUUUUAAGUUGUAAAAGUUUUAGAUUACUUGUAUUUUCUAAGAAUACUUAAUCAAAUUUCAUGUUUAUUUUCGUUAUUUAUACGAAAACUAUAAAAAUUAUAACAUGGGUGUUACAAGUUGGUAAUCAGAGCUCAUGGUUAAAGAGUGAGGUGUGUUCGGUUCGAGGCUUGAUCGUAAAUCCAGUAAGUACAUGUAUGUUAAUGGUUUAGUGUGCUAAAGUGUUGUAAACAACACAUAGGGUUAUCGUGUGAUACACGUUACCCUAAUUAAAAUGAUUGAUAUAGUUAAUAAAAAUACGCGCGUUGGCGCGUAUAGAAAAAGCCUUGUAUUAUAAUACGGGUGAUUAUUAAAGUUGAUAUAAUUAACUCUUGUAAAUGUUUCAGUUGAAGGACACUCGCAUCUAAAGAUAGCGGAAGUCUAACAAAUUGUUGACUUGACGAAGGAACGGUCCAAAGUACGACAAGUAGGAACAUGCUCACCAAGGACCUAAAUCGCGUAACGAUCGCGAACAAGGCUAACGGCAAGAGAAGCCUGACAGGGCAAGCAUUACCAGGUGCACAUUUUUAUAAUUUUAAUUGCACGAAUAGAAAUAUGCAACAAAUACAUAGAAACUGAUAGUUGCAUAUGUAAAUAGAAAAACUUGGAAAAACCUGAAUAGAAUACCUAUUCGGGAUAUUGUUUCCAAGAUAAAUGAAUAGAGGUGUUACUUACAUGGGGCGUGACGUGAAAAUUAUAAAAAGGUCAUGUAUGUCAUGUGUUGAUCGCCUACUCUGGCCAAGUAGGUAGUGAACACAUGAUACCAUGAACUUUUCAUAAUGGACAUGCUUACAUCCGAUGUAAUAAGGACGGGGUAAGUGGGACAAAUUAAAGGUACCCAAAUGAAUCAAAUAAGCAAAAUAUGUGAUCACAAUGUAAACGCACAGCCGAGUGACGGAAGCGUAUUACAUUAAGAUAAUGAGCCUGAGUGAAGGGACAAAGAAACACGUAAGAUAAUCAGACAUGUAUUGGGAAGGGGUGUACUUACACUCGAACCCGGAAAAUGCAAACAUGUAAAAUGAUGUAGACAUGUAUUGGGAAGGGGUGUACUUACACUCGAACCCGGAAAAUGCAAACAUGUAAAAUGAUGUUGACAUGUAUUGGGAAGGGGUGUAUUUACACUCGAACCCGGAAAAUGCAAACAUGUAAAAUGAUGUAGACAUGUAUUGGGAAGGGGUGUAUUUACACUCGAACCCGGAAAAUGCAAACAUGUAAAAUGAUGUAGACAUGUAUUGGGAAGGGGUGUAUUUACACUCGAACCCGGAAAAUGCAAACAUGUAAAAUGAUGUAGACAUGUAUUGGGAAGGGGUGUAUUUACACUCGAACCCGGAAAAUGCAAACAUGUAAAAUGAUGUAGACAUGUAUUGGGAAGGGGUGUACUUACACUCGAACCCGAAGAAUACAAAUAUGACUCUUAACGGGCCGAUUUUGUAAAACACCAAAUUUGAGAACGAAGUAGGAAUAUAAAAGUGAAACGAAGUCAUAAUACAUACCGUAAGGGUUGCAAUAAUAACGACUUCGGUAAAACACCCGGUUGGUGGGUAAGGAUUUAAACACAUGCGUAGACUGAGAAACAGGAACGCGAAAUAGAAAGUCAAAAGACUCGGAAUAUGAGUCAUGACUAAAAGAUGAUAAGAAUUUUCGCAAACAUAAAUUUUGGUAAUUACGUUCAACCAUUUCAAAGUUGGAUGGGUCAAAUAAAGAACGAAGUCUGACAUUCAUGGGUGAUGAAAAUUCACCUAAAAUGAGUCAAACGAGUCAAUUAAGGAAAAUGGAGGGGCCAAAAAGGACCUACGGGUCAAUAGUGUAAAGCAAGGGAACAAGUUAUGAUUCCCCGCGUAAAAUGAAAACGGAAAAGAAUAAAUUAUGGAUUGUCAAUUUCCAUAAUAUGAAUAAUUGACAUAGUUAAAAAGGAAAAACGUUAAACUAAAAUUUAGUUUUAGUAAGAAACAAUGUUUUAACAAACAUGAAUACUAUAGACGAAUUUGGAAAUAACAAAUAUCAAAGAGUAUGAGUCUUAACAUCGAUAGGUGCAAGACGAUAUAUUCGAAAAGUGGUAUUUUCGAAAAUGAAAGGUUGAUAUAAGUUAAACAUGACGUGACACGAUCACGGUCAAGAAAUGCAAUGUGAGGUGUAAUCACAUUCUCACCAAGCGAGUGGCAAAAAGAAACCGGACUAAUAAGUCUAGUUAGCGAAACCGGUUAAGGUCAGCAAUUUAAGUUAAGAAAUUUGGUUUGCUUGUAAGCAGUAAAUUCGGUAUGACUGAACCGAAUAAAUAAAUUUGAAAACAAAGAAAAUUGUUGCUAAAAGUGAAAUAUUUCACUAAAGACCUUUAAACGGGUCAAAGUAACGGAUUCACAAGGAAUUCGAUAGGAUAUAAAAGCGAGGAAUAUCGCUAAGUAACUAAACUAGUGGAAAUAACAAGAUCACGUUAUUCCAAGUUGCACUGUGUUGUAUGAGAUACGUAGACAAAAAAAAAAUAACCAAAAAGAUGUUACCAUACUUUUCUGGUAAUACUAAUAAUUGGAUAAAAGUAUAAAUAAUGAUUAGAAGAAUUCUCAGCUCAAAUACAUUGAGUUUAAACUCAAUGAAUUAUGUAAGAAAAGGUUUCGAGGACGAAACCUCUUUAAGGGGGGUAGACUUGUAACACCCCGAAAACGGGUUUGGUAAUCAAACCACGUUAACACUACACGACGGGUAAAAUACAGUAAGUGAUAAAACUUACCCGGUAAAUUAUAGUAUUUAAAUAAAUAAAUCUAAUAUAUAUAUAUAUAUAUAUAUAUUAAAAGGAUGAGAAAUACUUUGAGAAAGCAAAGUAUAUAAAAAGGCCCGAGAUUUAACGGGACUUAAAAUAAAACGGGUUGUGAACAAGAUAAAGUAACUAGGAAAUAAAUAACUUAGUACAAGUCUUGUAAUUAAAUGAAAGAAGUUAGUUUGAUGUGAAAAUAGUCUAAAAAUAUAAACUAAAGGGGCUGAUUAUGUAUAAGUGGCCAAACUAGACUUUUAUAAAAAAAAAAAAAAAGAAAUCACACACACACACAUCAGUGUGUGCGUGGGGAACGACCAGAGCAGGAAGAAAAAGGGUAAAACCCUAAACUCCACAAAAUCUUCUAAUUGAAGGUGCAAUUGAAGACCAAACUCGGAUUUGAAUACAUAUAAACGAUCACCGAGCUAAGGGGAUCGUAAGUUGACUCUAAACAAGCUAGGUGGGAGCUUGGAAAGGAACGGGUCAAACGGAUCAUGGAUGCGAAGAAUGUUUGCGCGAACGCGAGGUAAGUAAAGCUUACACCCAUUUGUAGUAAACGUAUGUAUUUUAUAGAUGAUAAAUGUGACAACCGAUUACAUUCGAAAUUGAAGUUCCGACACUAAGCAAUAUGAGUCGGAACGAAUAAAAAUGAUCAAAACCAUGGUUAAUGGUAAAAUGGACAAAAGGGUAAUUUAGUCGUGGAUCGACUAAGAAUUUAUAAGAUUUCUUUAAGGUUACCUUAUAGCGAAACUAGUAAUGGGAAAAAGGGUAAAUUAGUCACAUGUUGACUAUAUGUAAGUUGGGAUUAAAAAGAAUACCCAUGGUGUAAGCCAUAACGAGUUAGAUACGUAAGAAGAAUGAUCUUGUAGUUAAAACUUGAAAUGGGUUGAAUGGGAUAUUAAAAGCCAUGAUUUGACAUAAGUAUAAAUGUUUGGUCAUAAAUACCAAAUGGGUCAAAUGGUGGUGAUGACACUAUUUGACAAUAUCGACUAAUGUUUGGUUGUUAAGUUAAAUGUUCGCAGAAGUGAACGGGAAGUGGAUUAUUGCGUUGCUAUAAAGUAGCGGCUAAUAAAAGAAAGGUACAAAACGGGUCUAUAUGUUGACUCGAGCCAGGUACGCAUUAAUUAGAUCAUGGCGAUAUGCGUAGUUGAAUUUUAGAAUAUAAGUUACUAUGAAAUAUAGCGAUGAUAUCGCUACAUUGAAUAUUUGGUCAAAAGAUGGUUAGAGCUCGUUGGUAGUCGUCAAAAAGGAAGGAAUUCCGUAGACGAGCCAAACGGGUCGAAUAAUCAAGUAAGGCAUGGUUAUUGUUUCGGAUUAUGAUGGUUUGAUGGUUGAUUUUGAAUAUUUUAUAACAUAUUAGAAAUAUGAGGUUUUAACGAAUUAGUAUCAUAGAAAACUGAAAACCGAGAGUUGGGUCUUGGAGUAAUGAUCAAACAAAACAAAACCUGACAUUCCAGGUACUACCGUAAAUUACGGUAGAACCGUAAAUUACGGUGGUUGUGAUAUGGUUUACGGAGCAGAUCUCCUGGUUUACGGUGACCAGACACUUCCAGGUCUCACCGUAAAUUACGGUGAUACCGUAAUUUACGGUGGAUUCAGAAUCACUUUUUAUAUUUUUGUUAUUUAUAAUGUGGCAUUAAGCCUUGGGAUUAUAUUAUUAUAUAUCAACGUCAAAACUAAUGAUUUUAACGGUUUUGAUCAUAGGAGAAUGCCAAGAGUGCCCGGAUGAAGAUCAAGCUCGAUGAGGAACCGAACACAAUAAAAUCUAACACUCGGGAUUAAAGCUUCCGCACGGCGUUACGCCAUAUCUUUUAAACAACGAACUUAUCUAUAUUAUGUUGAAAACUUUUAAGUUGUAAAAGUUUUAGAUUACUUGUAUUUUCUAAGAAUACUUAAUCAAAUUUCAUGUUUAUUUUCGUUAUUUAUACGAAAACUAUAAAAAUUA